Pecten maximus is the source of this 1534-nucleotide long non-coding RNA. RefSeq lists it as uncharacterized. NCBI's taxonomy places the organism in Eukaryota, Metazoa, Mollusca, Bivalvia, Pectinida, Pectinidae. The record is from RefSeq and is a predicted model, not a curated record. The transcript is spliced from 3 exons.
UUCAGUAGGGUCUACUCCGGAUGUUACGUCACCAGUGACGUCACCAAGUUUGUUGCUGCGCCUGUCUCAUUGAAGUUGUAUUUCGGUGGGCUGUGUUGUAUUUUACUGUCACUGCCAGUAUUUCUUACAAUAUCUGAAAAUCAGAGACGAUGUUCCAAGAUAUGGAUGUUUUGUCAUGAUUAUAUGUUGCGCUGCACAAGCACGCGUGCAAAAAAUAAUCAACCCAGCGUUCAGAAUGUCAAGCAAAGUCCCGUAGCCUCGAGCUCAUCGGCAGUACCAGUACCGCUGACUGUAACUUAUAUCUUCAACAUCCAGCUCCUAGAGGGACACCAGCUGUAAGAACUCCUGUCAGCUUCAAGUCUAGAAACUUCAACAAAGGUGGACAUCUGGAGAAGCUGAAAGACAGAUCUGCAACAUAGUGAAACUGUUUUCUGCUUUCGGCAAAUGGACAGUCAGUCAGUCACAGCAGGCAAGGCUCGGCAGUUUUGAAACCCAUGUGAACAGUGUUAAGCUUCAAGGAAAAAGAUUCAAUGAACUGUAUAUCAUAUGAUUCUGUAUAAAUAUAUCCAUGCAACAAAAGUGAUUUCUGGAACUAGAAGUAAUGCUGUUGGAGAGGCAAACAAUAUGAAUAAGACAACAGAAUCUCCGUCUUGUUGAAAAAGUGAUGUUUUUCUCUAUACAAGUUAUACCAGUAAUGCAAAGGCCAAGGACAUGGAUAGUGGUUUUUAAUAUUUAUAUAUAUAUGUGUAUUGAUCUUUCUUACCAUAAGAUAAACUGACAUUCUAAACUAUAAAUUAUUUACAGUGCAACUUGGUUUUGUAUGGAUUUACUUUACAUGAGCAAGUAUUAAAUGAAUUAUAUUUUUGAUUCUAAAUAACAAAUUUUCAUCUUGUUAUUAUUGAUUAGACUUUAAGAUAAUAUGCCCAUUGGGCAUCUGACAUUGUUCUGUUUGGUUUGCUUUAUUUUGUUUACAGCCAUUAAAGGGAUGUCAGGUGUUGAAUGUAUAGAGGAAAGCCUGAGUACCUGAGAUAAACCAAAGAUCUAUGAUCAGUACCUGGCAAUUGUCCAAUGUGGUUUUCAAACUCACAAUCCAGAAGUGAAGGUUAUAAUGGAACAAUGUUGGGACACAUUAACCACUCGGCCACUGUGGACCCUGACAUGACACAUUCUGAGUGGUAAUAGAAUUGUUUGAGAAUGAUCUAGUACAUUUCUGAAGAAAUUCUAGAACAAUUCAAGACUUUCUCAGAGGACAUGUGAUUUACGCAUGUGCUCUUUUCAUGCAUAUUACACACGUAAUUUACAUACGAGAUACACACGUAGCUCUUUUCGUCUCCUCCACAUGCGUAUUGAUUCGCACGAUUCUCGCACGACAGAUUUUACAUGCGUUUAACGCAUAUGAUACGCAUAAUUUACGCAUGUAGCUACGCAUGAUCCACGCAUGUCGAAAUUUACACACGAGACACAUGCGUAUUACGCAUGAUAUUCAUAUGAACUCAACGCACGAUUUAUGCGCGUGCUCUUUUCUGCUUAACCA